RNAcentral lists this small RNA (228 nucleotides) under Mytilus galloprovincialis (Mediterranean mussel). Lineage: Eukaryota; Metazoa; Mollusca; Bivalvia; Mytilida; Mytilidae. The record is from RNAcentral.
UCUAAACAUCAACCCAACAAUGUUAGAUCUGUAAAUUUGCUUUCGCAAAUUUUUGGUUCUUCCCUCGCCGGGAUUCGACGGUUCGAAUCCCGGCGAGGGAAGAACCAAAAAUUUGCGAAAGCGGUUCGAAUCCCGGCGAGGGAAGAACCAAAAAUUUGCGAAAGCAAAUUUACAGAUCUAACAUUGUUGGGUUGAUGUUUAGACGAGUUGUAUAAUAUAUAUAUAUAU